UCAAUGGAGGACUAGUGGUUAUGCAACGGCACUCUCAACGCUGCGGCCCGGGAUCGAUUCCCAGCCAGGGAA
Non-coding RNA from Pangasius djambal, 72 nucleotides. The record is from the annotation of a GenBank genome assembly. Lineage: Eukaryota; Metazoa; Chordata; Actinopteri; Siluriformes; Pangasiidae.